RNAcentral lists this long non-coding RNA (1088 nucleotides) under Aphidius gifuensis. Its description in RNAcentral is "uncharacterized LOC122859533". The record is from RNAcentral. Lineage: Eukaryota; Metazoa; Arthropoda; Insecta; Hymenoptera; Braconidae.
UAUUAAUCUACAGACCUUGAUGACAAGCAAUGACAAGAGAGCUCAUUUUUAUGCUGUCGAGCUGGGGUUCACUGGGGUUCACAUCGAUGUAUAUACGACAUGGGGUGCAUUCCUUUAAUACAAAUUUUUUUUUCGUUUUGCAAUUUCGCCCUGUAAUACCGACUAAAAACUAGAAACAGAAACAACGACAAAAGUGAUAAAAUUCUCAAUUCCAUGCUCAAGGUUAUGUCAUAUAUAUUUAUGAAGAUCCAUUAUGAUGAAUCUCAAUAUGAACAACAUCGUCAGGAUGGCUCAAAAAAAAUUAAAACUAAAUGCAGUACCAACUUUGUUUGGUGAUGUUUUGAUAGAUUAUUCGAGUAAAAUCCACCAAAAUAAAAGUAACGUGUUACAUGAUGUUAGUUGGACUUCAUUUGAAUCACUAAAGCAGUUGUCAACAAUAAACUUAGGUAAAUCUUUUACCAGACCAUUGCUUGAUGUAAUUAUAGAUGAAUAUACCACUGACAACAAAAAGAGUUUAUUCAAGUUACCAAAGUCUAAUAAUACCAAAUCUUUACCAAGUGAUGAGCAGCAGAUUGAAUUGCCACUAGUAAACUUGGAUGAGGAUCAUUUAGUAUCAAUUUUUACUCAUAAUAUUUAUCCUGACACUUUCAACAGUUUUUCAUCAAUUCUUGCUGAUGAAUUACAAGCAAAAAUAAUGAAAAAAUAUAAUAAAGGAGUUAUUCAAUUUAAUUUCAUGCUUUAAAAUCAACAUCGUCUUAAUCACCAAGAAAUUUCGAGUUUAAACUAGGAAGUAGAAAGCUUAAAGAAAAUAAAUAUUAGUUUAGACUGUGAAUUACGAUUUGAAUAAGAAAAAAGGAUACAGAAAGACAACGAGAAAAAAUUAAAAACAAGUUUAACAAGCUUCUUAAUGUAUUCGAAAAAUUGUCCAUUUUUAAAAAACCUUUUAAUUGAGUUAUUUUAUUUACUUAUUUAUAGUAUGCGACAGGUAAAAGCCUACUGAAGCCAGAAAAAUAUAUUUUGUUGUCGGAUAAAAAAUUGUAUUCGAUUAUGUUAUUCUUAUAUUAAAAAAGAAAAAAUUAUAUUUUUCG